GCGCGUGGCCGAGAGCGGCGCCGAUUCCACCCCGUCCCAUCCCGAACCGGGUCGUGCCCGGCGCCAGCGCCGGAGAGUACUGCGCGGGCGACCGCGUGGGAGGCGAGGCCGCUGCGCGCA
This is a ribosomal RNA of Sphaerobacter thermophilus DSM 20745, 120 nucleotides long. The record is from Rfam. NCBI's taxonomy places the organism in Bacteria, Pseudomonadati, Thermomicrobiota, Thermomicrobia, Sphaerobacterales, Sphaerobacteraceae.